RNAcentral lists this ribosomal RNA (440 nucleotides) under uncultured bacterium. RNAcentral's name for it is "partial 16S ribosomal RNA". It matches the Rfam family "Bacterial small subunit ribosomal RNA", at positions 339 to 795 of the family's 1533-position model. The record is from RNAcentral.
CUACGGGGUGCUGCAGUGGGGAAUAUUGCACAAUGGGGGAAACCCUGAUGCAGCGACGCCGCGUGAAGGAUGAAGGUUUUCGGAUCGUAAACUUCUUUGAUCGGGGACGAAUAAUGACGGUACCCGAAGAACAAGCCACGGCUAACUACGUGCCAGCAGCCGCGGUAAUACGUAGGUGGCAAGCGUUGUCCGGAUUUACUGGGUGUAAAGAGCAUGUAGGCGGGAAUACAAGUCAGAUGUGAAAUGCUGCGGCUCAACUGCAGCCCUGCAUCUGAAACUGUAUUUCUUGAGUACUGGAGAGGAAAGCGGAAUUCCUAGUGUAGCGGUGAAAUGCGUAGAUAUUAGGAGGAACACCGGUGGCGAAGGCGGCUUUCUGGACGGUAACUGACGCUGAGAUGCGAAAGCGUGGGGAGCAAACAGGAUUAGAUACCCUCGUAGUC